This 251-nucleotide long non-coding RNA is filed under the name Theobroma cacao (cacao). RNAcentral's name for it is "long non-coding RNA (TCAC_LNC005460)". Lineage: Eukaryota; Viridiplantae; Streptophyta; Magnoliopsida; Malvales; Malvaceae. The record is from RNAcentral.
AUAGUCUAAAAUCAAAUUAUUCCAACAACAAUUCCUCUUCCAUACCCAUUUUUCAGAAUUGAAUUCAUCAUGAUAACUCAAUAUUCAACCAUGGAAAUCAAGAACAAAAGCAUGGGUAAGCUAGGUAUCAAGGAGAAUUAAAGAAAUUUGAACUUACCUAGCUUAUUUCCUUGAAUUCCAACACUUUCUCUUUGAUUUUUUCCCACCUAGGGCUUGUUCUUCCUUGGUUUCUCUUCUCUUCUAGUUUGGCU